CACGGGGGGAGCAAGCGUUGUUCGGAAUCACUGGGCGUAAAGGGCGUGUAGGCGGUCAAGUAAGUGGAAUGUGAAAGCCCCCGGCUUACCCGGGGAUCUGCAUCCCAAACUGCUUGGCUUGAGUACGGGAGAGGAUAGGGGAAUUCCUGGUGUAGCGGUGAAAUGCGUAGAUAUCAGGAGGAACACCGGUGGCGAAGGCGCCUAUCUGGCCCGAUACUGACGCUGAGGCGCGAAAGCUAGGGGAGCGAACGGG
This 253-nucleotide ribosomal RNA is filed under the name uncultured bacterium. RNAcentral's name for it is "partial 16S ribosomal RNA". It matches the Rfam family "Bacterial small subunit ribosomal RNA", at positions 524 to 776 of the family's 1533-position model. The record is from RNAcentral.